RNAcentral lists this ribosomal RNA (526 nucleotides) under Melanohalea aff. multispora SL-2012. Its description in RNAcentral is "eukaryotic LSU rRNA". It matches the Rfam family "Eukaryotic large subunit ribosomal RNA", at positions 112 to 650 of the family's 3401-position model. Lineage: Eukaryota; Fungi; Ascomycota; Lecanoromycetes; Lecanorales; Parmeliaceae. The record is from RNAcentral.
AAUUUGAAAUCUGGCCCCUUCGGGGUCCGAGUUGUAAUUUGUAGAGAGUGCUUCGGGUGAGACCGCGGUCUAAGUCCAUUGGAACAUGGCGUCCCAGAGGGUGAGAAUCCCGUAUGUGACUGCGGCUCGAGCCCAUGUGAAGCCUCUUCGACGAGUCGAGUUGUUUGGGAAUGCAGCUCUAAAUGGGUGGUAAAUUUCAUCUAAAGCUAAAUACUGGCUGGAGACCGAUAGCGCACAAGUAGAGUGAUCGAAAGAUGAAAAGCACUUUGGAAAGAGAGUUAAACAGUACGUGAAAUUGUUGAAAAGGAAGCGCUUGCAACCAGACCUGUCCGUAGGCGAUCACCCGCUGUUCUCAGCGGUGCACUCGUUCUGCGAUCAGGCCAGCAUCGGUUCGGGCGGCCGGAUAAAGGCCUUGGGAAUGUAGCUCUCCUCCGGGGGAGUCUUAUAGCCCUCGGUGCAAUGCGGCCAGCCGGGACCGAGGACCGCGCUUCGGCUAGGAUGCUGGCGUAAUGGUUGUAAGCGACCC